RNAcentral lists this transfer RNA (57 nucleotides) under Ictidomys tridecemlineatus (thirteen-lined ground squirrel). RNAcentral's name for it is "Spermophilus tridecemlineatus (thirteen-lined ground squirrel) tRNA". It matches the Rfam family "tRNA", at positions 8 to 63 of the family's 71-position model. Rfam says of the family: Transfer RNA (tRNA) molecules are approximately 80 nucleotides in length. Their secondary structure includes four short double-helical elements and three loops (D, anti-codon, and T loops). Further hydrogen bonds mediate the characteristic L-shaped molecular structure. tRNAs have two regions of fundamental functional importance: the anti-codon, which is responsible for specific mRNA codon recognition, and the 3' end, to which the tRNAs corresponding amino acid is attached (by aminoacyl-tRNA synthetases). tRNAs cope with the degeneracy of the genetic code in two manners: having more than one tRNA (with a specific anti-codon) for a particular amino acid; and 'wobble' base-pairing, i.e. permitting non-standard base-pairing at the 3rd anti-codon position. The record is from Rfam by way of RNAcentral. Lineage: Eukaryota; Metazoa; Chordata; Mammalia; Rodentia; Sciuridae.
UGGCUCAGUGGUAGAGCGCUUGGUUAGCAUACAGGAGGCCCUGGGUUAGAUCCCUAG